CCUACGGGAGGCAGCAGUGGGGAAUAUUGCACAAUGGGGGAAACCCUGAUGCAGCGACGCCGCGUGAGUGAAGAAGUAAUUCGUUAUGUAAAGCACUAUCAGCAGGGAAGAAAAUGACGGUACCUGAGUAAGAAGCCCCUGCUAACUACGGGCCAGCAGCCGCGGUAAUACGUAGGGGGCAAGCGUGAUCCGGAUUUACUGGGUGUAAAGUGAGCGUAGACGGCAGUGCAAGUCUGGAGUGAAAGGCGGGGGCUCAACCCCCGAACUGCUCUGGAAACUGUACGGCUGGAGUGCAGGAGAGGUAGGUGGAAUUCCUGGUGUAGCGAUGAAAUGCGUAGAGAUUAGGAGGAACACCAGUGGCGAAGGCGGCCUACUGGACUAUAACUGACGUUGAGGCUCGAAAGCGUGGGGAGCAAACAGGAUUAGAUACCCGAGUAGUC
This 440-nucleotide ribosomal RNA is filed under the name uncultured bacterium. RNAcentral describes it as "partial 16S ribosomal RNA". It matches the Rfam family "Bacterial small subunit ribosomal RNA", at positions 338 to 795 of the family's 1533-position model. The record is from RNAcentral.